AUGAACUGAUUCUUGUAUGCUUCAUUGAACUAGAAGUAGUAAGUAGUAUAACUCUAAACUAUACCUAUUAUAGUUUAUUAGUACUCUUGUUUGUAUGAUUGAAUGUAUUGAACUGAGAUAAAAGUCUUUAUAUCUAUACAUAUAUACAUAAUAUAUAACUAAGGGUUCAACGACACUCGGACAAACAACCGGGUACUUUAAGACCACAACCAAACAAGGAUAGGAAGUAAAGUGGGUUAUCUUUCCUAAGUCCUUCAAACCUUAUUUAUAUAACUAUAUAUGUAAUAGACAUGGUUUUAACAAUAUAUAAGUUUGAAAACUGUAAAAGAAAGGUUUAGUAUUCAAAAGUGAAUUUGAUAAAGAGUUUGAUGUGUAAAAUAGUUUGAUAAACAGUUUGAAGUCAUUUGUUUGGUAAAACAGUUUAAAGUAUGUAAAAUCCAUUUGUAUGCUAGUUAUUAAUCACAUGUGAUUGAUCUAAUAACUAACAUGGUUUAACUUGUAUCCCCCAUAAAGCAUUUAAAAACAUUUAAAAAGCAUUUCAAAGGUUAAUUAAGGGGUAGUAGUGAGUGGUUUGUUCGGAAGUGUCGGACAAGGUGCUAGGUGUCAAGUGAGGACUUGAACACACACUAUGGUCCUAGUUAACAUAUAAUAAUUAUAUAUGUAUCUAAUUAGUCAAUUAACAACUAAUUAAUGAAGUUAAGACACCCUAGGACAUGGAAAUACUUUGAUUCAAGUGCUAUAGGUACCAAAGGGUUGCAUCUAAGGGUUGUAUGGCAUGGCAUUGGAGUUUAUGGCCCAAGGACCACUCCUUAUGGAGUUUACGGCCCAUGAACAUUUCCCCAUGAGUUUAUGGCCGUAAACUCAUGGUACUAAGUGUCAUAUUGUGUUUUGAAGUCUUAUAAGUCAUGAUUGCACAUCCAAUGAUCAAGUCCAAGCCUUAGGAAAGCAUUAGGGGCACAUUAAGGCUACAUUGUGGAGUUUACGGCCAAAGGACCAUAUCCUUAGGUGUUCACGACUGUAAACUCUCAUGGGGACUUGUUUUGAUUGGUUUUUAAGGUCUUAAACACUUCUAGGAAGGAUCAAGGUUGGCAUCCAAGGCUUAGGAAAGGACUAAGGUCCAUUUAACCACCUUAAGAGGGGUUUACGGCCCAAGAACAUCCUUGGACAUAAACUCCUUUGUUCUUAUGAUUCUUGAUGAUUUUCAAGUGUUAUCAAGUUCAUAUUAAUCACACAAGAAGCUAGGGCAAGUGUACUUACAAGAUAGAGGCUUGAUUUGGUGUUUAAGGUCCAAGAACACUAGUGUGUGUUAUUGGUGUUCUUGGUGUUUUGAAGAACACUUGAAGAUCUAGCUAACAAUCAAAUAUGAAUGGAUGAAAGGAUGUAUAACAAGUUGAUGUUAGGUUAUAACAACAAAUCAAGUUGAGAAACACUUACGUUUUCGGAAGAUCGGGUGAAGAACGUGAUGAUAGUUGAGAGAGAAUGGGGAGUAAACUUGAGGGUGGAAGUAAGAAAUGAGGAGUUUGGGGAGUAAACUCAUGUCUAAGCCAUGAGUUCACGGCCACUAGGGAGUUUACGGCCCAAACUAUAAAAGUUUGGUCGUGAACUCCUUAUUAGGGUGGUAUGUGUGGUUUUGUAACUCCAAGACCCGAGACGGUACUUCCUUUCCUUCGUUCGUUUAAAGAAUAAACACUAAAAACACUCAAACGGACUUUUAAAUUGGCUAAAAAUUAUUAGAAAUGUAAUUGAAUUUUAAUUGAAGUGAUUGACUUUAGAGUUUGUCCGAAUGAAAAUUUCGGGUUGUCACAUCAUCCUCCCGUUAAAGGGAAUUUCGUCCCGGAAUUUAAGUUUAAGCAAAUAAAAUAGUUACAAAUAACUAAGCGAAUAGAUGAGGAUAUUUCAAUUUCAUUUGAUCCUCGCGCUCCCAUGUGAAUUCCGAUCCUUGCUUGGCGUUCUAACAAACCUUCACAAUCGGGAUACGACUUUGUUUCAUCUGCUUGACCUCACGGUCCAUGAUCUUUACAUGUUCUUCCACGAAGUUGAGGCUCUCGUUGAUCUCGAUCUCGUCGAGUGGGAUUACAGGAGUCUCGUUGGACAGACACUUUUUCAAGUUUGAGACGUGGAAUGUAGAAUGUACGUUACUAAGUUCGUUGGGUAGAUUGAGUUUGUAAGCUACAGGGCUGAUUCUAGCGAGAAUCUCGAAAGGCCCUAUGUACCUUGGAUUGAGCUUCCCACACUUUCCGAAGCGUAUCAAGCCCUUCCAGGGUGAGACUUUCAAAAGAACGCGCUUUCCCACCUGGAAUUCCAAAGGUUUCCUGCAUUUGUCGGCGUAGCUCUUCUGUCGGUCUCUAGAGGCUUUCAAUCAUUCACGAAUUUGAACGAUCUUCUCUGUUGUUUCCCGAAUGAUUUCCGGACCUGUGAGAGUGCUGUCAGGAACUCGUCCUUUAGCCAACUGGGUGUCACCCACCUCAGCCCAACAUAGAGGGGAUCUGCACUUCCGGCCAUUGAGGGCUUCGAAUGGAGCAGCCUUGAUGCUCGUGUGAUAACUGUUAUUGUAGGAAAAUUCGACAAGGGGUAAGUGAGUAUCCCAUGCCUUCCCAAAGUCGAUCACAUAGGCUCUCAACAUAUCUUCCAGUGUUUGGAUGGUUCUCUCACUUUGUUCGUCGGUCUGAGGAUGGUAGGCUGUACUCAUGUCUAGCCUCGUUCCUAGGGAACUUUGUAGUGACUGCCAGAACCUCGAAGUGAACCUACUAUCUCUAUCGGAGAUAAUGGAUAUAGGAACACCAUGCAGUCGUACGAUUUCCCUAAUGUAUGUUCUCGUAAGCUUCUCCAUCUUGUCAGUCUCUUUGAUAGGUAGAAAGUGUGCAGACUUGAUCAAUCUAUCGACGAUGACCCAUAUGGUAUCAAGUCCACCCGUUGUCUUGGGCAACUUGGUUAUGAAAUCCAUAGUGAUCCGCUCCCACUUCCAUUCUGGUAUCCCCGGUUGUUGUAGAAGACCGGAGGGUUUCUAGUAUUCGACCUUAACCUUUGCGCAAGUAAGGCAUUUACUCACGAAGGUAGCAAUCUCUGCUUUCAUGUUAGGCCACCAGUAUAACUUUUUAAGAUCCAGAUACAUCUUAUCUGAACCUGGGUGGAUGGAAUACCGAGUGUUGUGCGCCUCGGUCAUAACCAAGUCUCAGAAGCCACCAUGUUUCGGUGUCCAGAUCCGGUCCAUGAAAUAUAAGGCUCCGCCACCCUUGGCUUUUAAGUUCUUAUCCAUUCCUCUAAGGGAUUCACCCGCCACAUUCUCAGGUUUUAAGGCUUCAAGUUGAGCCUUCUGAAUUUGUGUAGACAAGUGUGAAUGGAUAGUCAUUGUCAACGAUCAGACUCUUCGACCAGAAUAUUCUUUCCGACUUAGGGCGUCUGAUACUAUGUUGGCUUUACCUGGAUGAUAACGAAUUUCGCAUUCGUAGUCAUUGAGUAGCUCGACCCACCGUCGUUGUCUCAUGUUGAGCUCCUUCUGAUUGAGUAUGUGUUGUAAGCUCUUGUGGUCUGUAAAGAUGAUGCUCUUCGUACCAUACAGAUAGUGUCUACAGAUCUUCAGGGCAAACACAAUUGCCCCCAGCUCAAGAUCGUGUGUGGUGUAGUUGACUUUGUGUGUCUUCAGCUGUCAUAAGGCAUAGGCGAUGACCUUACCUCGUUGCAUCAGAACACAACCGAGCCCUUGGUUGGAUGCAUCACAUUAUAAAACGAAGUCUUCUAUUCCUUCGGGGAGGGAUAGUAUCGGUGCGGUGCAUAAGGAUCGUUUCAGCGUUUGAAACGCUCUUUCUUGUUUCUCUUCCCAGUCAAAGGCCACUCCUUUCUGGGUCAGUGUAGUAAGAGGCUUCGCAAUCCGGGAGAAGUUCUGUAUGAACCUGCGUUAGUAGCCAAUGAGACCUAAAAAUUGACGAAUUUUUGUAGGCGUCUUCGGUGCUGACCAGUUCUCAAUGGCCUUAAUUGUGGAUGGGUCCACAUGGAUUCCCUCUUCGCUAACCAUGUGUCCUAAGAAUUUGACUCUUGGGAUCCAAAAUUCACAUUUAGAGAACUUCGCAUAGAGCUUCUCCGUUCGUAAAGUUCCUAGAACUUGUCGUAGGUGAUCACCAUGUUCUUCCUUACUUCAAGAGUAGAUCAGGAUGUCAUCAAUGAAAACGAUGACGAACUGAUCCAAGUAAGGACGACAUACUCUAUUCAUUAAGUCCAUGAACACUGCGGGCGCAUUGGUCAAUCCGAAUGGCAUCACCACGAACUCGUAGUGUCCGUAACGAGUUCGGAAGGCUGUUUUUGGAACAUCCUCCUCUAGCACUCGUAACCGGUGAUAUCCAGAUCUUAGAUCAAUUUUUGAAAAAGGAACUCGCCCCUUGCAGUUGGUCAAAUAAAUCGUCUAUGCGAGGCAGAGGGUAACGAUUUUUGACCGUCAGUUUGUUGAGUUCUCUGUAGUCGAUACACAUACGGAAUGAUCCAUCUUUCUUCUUAACGAACAAAACCGGUGCUCCCCAGGGUGAGAAGCUUGGUCUAAUAAAGCCCUUGCUGAGUAGUUCGUUAAUUUGACCAUAUAGUUCCUACAUUUCUGUUGGUGCUAAGAGGUAGGGCGAUUUGGCUAGUUGGGUAGCUCCUAGGACUAAGUCGAUUUUGAACUCGACCUGUCGUUGCGGAGGUAAUCCUGGUAGUUCUUCUGGAAAGAUGUCGGGAAAGUCGCUCACUACCGGAAUGUUCUUUAGUUCCUUCGUUUCUAGUCUCGUAUCGACAAAGUGAGAAAGGAAUGCACAAUAUUCCUUACGUAGAUACUUCCGUGCUUGAAUACUUGAGAUGAUACGAAGACUCGUUCUGGGUUUGUCGCCGUAGAUGAUGAGAGUUUCGUUAGCCGGGAGGUUUAGAUAGACUGCUUUCUUGUAGCACAUGAUGUCGGCACGAUGAAGACUCAACCAAUCCAUGCCGUUGAUGACGUCGAAGCUUUUAAUCGAGACCGGCAUAAGGUCGAUUGGAAAUGAAUGGCUAUUUAGAGUUAGGGUACAUCCUAUGUAUAUGCUAUUUGUGCUCUCAGUUUUUGAUGGGUUUUGAGCAUUCUAACACUUCCUAAGUGUACAUGCAACCCUAAUAACCUUGGAUCUAUGUUUGUCUAAUUAUCAUGCAAAGUUGAAUUUCCAAGGUUAUAUUCCUAUCUAGCAUACAUGGGGAACAAUUUUACUUGAAUAACA
Molecule: long non-coding RNA, 5210 nt
Filed under: Lactuca sativa (garden lettuce)
Lineage: Eukaryota; Viridiplantae; Streptophyta; Magnoliopsida; Asterales; Asteraceae
Description: long non-coding RNA (LSAT_LNC001346)
Source: RNAcentral